UGGGAAUAUUGCACAAUGGAGGGAACUCUGAUGCAGCGACGCCGCGUGAACGAAGAAGGCUUUCGAGUCGUAAAGUUCUUUUAUAUGGGAAGAUAAUGACGGUACCAUAAGAAAAAGCCCCGGCUAACUACGUGCCAGCAGCCGCGGUAAUACGUAGGGGGCUAGCGUUGUCCGGAAUCACUGGGCGUAAAGGGUUCGCAGGCGGAAAUGCAAGUCAGGUGUAAAAGGCAGUAGCUUAACUACUGUAAGCAUUUGAAACUGCAUAUCUUGAGAAGAGUAGAGGUAAGUGGAAUUUUUAGUGUAGCGGUGAAAUGCGUAGAUAUUAAAAAGAAUACCGGUGGCGAAGGCGACUUACUGGGCUCAUUCUGACGCUGAGGAACGAAAGCGUGGGUAGCAAACAGG
RNAcentral lists this ribosomal RNA (402 nucleotides) under bacterium. Its description in RNAcentral is "partial 16S ribosomal RNA". It matches the Rfam family "Bacterial small subunit ribosomal RNA", at positions 356 to 776 of the family's 1533-position model. The record is from RNAcentral. RNAcentral also lists the same sequence under 2 other names.